AAAGUCAUAUCUAACUGGCAUGGGAAUUGACUGGUCCACGGUGCGAAAUGUCAUGGACAUGAGAGCUGUCUAUGGAGGAUUUGCUGCUGCAUUGAAAAAUUUGAAAGUGUGGGUUAUGAACGUUGUCUCAAUAGACUCUGCUGAUACUCUCCCAAUUAUCUACGAACGAGGUUUAUUUGGUAUAUAUCACGAUUGGUGCGAAUCAUUCAACACCUACCCAAGGUCGUACGACCUUCUUCACGCAGAUCAUCUUUUCUCCAAGGUCAAAACAAGGUGCAAUAUGGCCGCUUUAGUUGCAGAGACCGACCGGAUCCUCAGGCCAGAAGGGAAGCUCAUAGUUCGGGACAAUUCCAAAACAG
This 359-nucleotide unclassified non-coding RNA is filed under the name Hevea brasiliensis (rubber tree). The record is from RNAcentral. Lineage: Eukaryota; Viridiplantae; Streptophyta; Magnoliopsida; Malpighiales; Euphorbiaceae.